RNAcentral lists this ribosomal RNA (718 nucleotides) under uncultured Methanothermobacter sp. RNAcentral describes it as "bacterial SSU rRNA". It matches the Rfam family "Archaeal small subunit ribosomal RNA", at positions 102 to 816 of the family's 1478-position model. Lineage: Archaea; Methanobacteriati; Methanobacteriota; Methanobacteria; Methanobacteriales; Methanobacteriaceae. The record is from RNAcentral.
GGACAACCUACCCUUAGGACCGGGAUAACCCCGGGAAACUGGGGACAAUCCCGGAUAGGUGAAGUGGCCUGGAAUGGUACUUCACUGAAAGGCUCUUCGGAGCGCCUAAGGAUGGGUCUGCGGCCGAUUAGGUAGUUGGUAGGGUAACGGCCUACCAAGCCGAUAAUCGGUACGGGUUAUGAGAGCAAGAGCCCGGAGAUGGAACCUGAGACAGGGUUCCAGGCCCUACGGGGCGCAGCAGGCGCGAAACCUCCGCAAUGCACGCAAGUGCGACGGGGGGACCCCAAGUGCCACUCUUAACGGGGUGGCUUUUCAGGAGUGUAAAAAGCUCCUGGAAUAAGGGCUGGGCAAGACCGGUGCCAGCCGCCGCGGUAACACCGGCAGCUCGAGUGGUAGCCGCGUUUGUUGGGCCUAAAGCGUCCGUAGCCGGUCCGAUAAGUCUCUGGUGAAAGCCCACAGCUCAACUGUGGGAAUCGCUGGAGAUACUAUCGGACUUGAGGCCGGGAGAGGCUGGAGGUACUCCCAGGGUAGGGGUGAAAUCCUAUAAUCCUGGGAGGACCACCUGUGGCGAAGGCGUCCGGCUGGAACGGACCUGACGGUGAGGGACGAAAGCCAGGGGCGCGAACCGGAUUAGAUACCCGGGUAGUCCUGGCCGUAAACGAUGCGGACUUGGUGUUGGGAUGGCUUUGAGCUGUCCCAGUGCCGAAGGGAAGCUGUU